UGCAAGUCGAACGGUAACAGGUCUUCGGAUGCUGACGAGUGGCGAACGGGUGAGUAAUGUAUCGGAACGUGCCCAGUAGUGGGGGAUAACUACUCGAAAGAGUGGCUAAUACCGCAUGAGAACUGAGGUUGAAAGUGGGGGACCGCAAGGCCUCACGCUACUGGAGCGGCCGAUAUCAGAUUAGGUAGUUGGUGGGGUAAAGGCCUACCAAGCCUGCGAUCUGUAGCUGGUCUGAGAGGACGACCAGCCACACUGGGACUGAGACACGGCCCAGACUCCUACGGGAGGCAGCAGUGGGGAAUUUUGGACAAUGGGCGCAAGCCUGAUCCAGCAAUGCCGCGUGCAGGACGAAGGCCUUCGGGUUGUAAACUGCUUUUGUACAGAACGAAAAAGCCUCUUCUAAUACAGGGGGUGCAUGACGGUACUGUAAGAAUAAGCACCGGCUAACUACGUGCCAGCAGCCGCGGUAAUACGUAGGGUGCAAGCGUUAAUCGGAAUUACUGGGCGUAAAGCGUGCGCAGGCGGUUUUGUAAGACAGAGGUGAAAUCCCCGGGCUCAACCUGGGAACUGCCUUUGUGACUGCAAGGCUGGAGUGCGGCAGAGGGGGAUGGAAUUCCGCGUGUAGCAGUGAAAUGCGUAGAUAUGCGGAGGAACACCGAUGGCGAAGGCAAUCCCCUGGGCCUGCACUGACGCUCAUGCA
This 700-nucleotide ribosomal RNA is filed under the name uncultured bacterium. RNAcentral describes it as "bacterial SSU rRNA". It matches the Rfam family "Bacterial small subunit ribosomal RNA", at positions 56 to 753 of the family's 1533-position model. The record is from RNAcentral. RNAcentral also lists the same sequence under 1 other name.